AGCAGCCGCGGUAAUUCCAGCUCCAAUAGCGUAUAUUAAAGUUGUUGCAGUUAAAAAGCUCGUAGUUGAAUUUCGGGGUCAGUAGGUUGGUCAUGCCACUGGUAUGUACUGGUCUCACUGAUUCCUCCUUCCUGAUGAGCCGUAAUGCCAUUAAUUUGGUGUUGCGAGGAAUCUGGACUGUUACUUUGAAAAAAUUAGAGUGUUUAAAGCAGGCUAACGCUUGAAUACAUUAGCAUGGAAUAAUGAAAUAGGACGUUCGAUCUUAUUUUGUUGGUUUCUAAGAUUGACGUAAUGAUUAAUAGGGAUAGUUGGGGGCAUUAGUAUUCAAUUGUCAGAGGUGAAAUUCUUGGAUUUAAUUGAAGACUAACUACUGCGAAAGCAUUUGCCAAGGAUGUUUUCAUUAAUCAAGAACGAAAGUUAGGGGAUCGAAGACGAUCAGAUACCGUCGUA
This 450-nucleotide ribosomal RNA is filed under the name uncultured Glomus. RNAcentral's name for it is "SSU rRNA". It matches the Rfam family "Eukaryotic small subunit ribosomal RNA", at positions 569 to 1022 of the family's 1831-position model. The record is from RNAcentral. Lineage: Eukaryota; Fungi; Glomeromycota; Glomeromycetes; Glomerales; Glomeraceae.